AUUUCUGAAUGGGGCGACCCAACUAAUAGAGAUAUUAGUUACCGUAAUGGAGCGAACGAGGGGAAUUGAAACAUCUUAGUACCCUCAGGAAAAGAAAUCAAACGAGAUUACGCUAGUAGCGGCGAGCGAACGCGUAAGAGGGCAAACCACUAGUUUACUAGUGGGGUUGUAGGACUGUAACAUAGACUAAAUUUAGCUAAUAGAAUGAUCUGGAAAGGUCAAGCAUAGAGGGUGAUACUCCCGUAUAUGAAAGCUUUAUUUUACUUAGCAGUAUCCUGAGUAGGGCGGAACACGUGAUAUUCUGUCUGAAGCUGGGUAGACCACUAUCCAACCCUAAAUACUACUACUAGACCGAUAGUGCACAAGUACCGUGAGGGAAAGGUGAAAAGAACUGAGGUGAUCAGAGUGAAAUAGAACCUGAAACCAUUUGCUUACAAUCAUUCAGAGCCCUAUGAUUUAUCAGGGUGAUGGACUGCCUUUUGCAUAAUGAGCCUGCGAGUUGUGGUGUCUGGCGAGGUUAAGGAAACCCGGAGCCGUAGCGAAAGCGAGUCUUAAUAGGGCGUUUAGUCAGAUGCUGCAGACCCGAAACGAUGUGAUCUAUCCAUGAGCAGGUUGAAACUGGUGUAAGAACCAGUGGAGGACCGAACCCGCUAGCGUUGAAAAGCUAUGGGAUGACUUGUGGAUAGGGGUGAAAGGCCAAUCAAACAUCGUGAUAGCUGGUUCUCUCCGAAAUAUAUUUAGGUAUAGCGUCAUGUAGUAGCUAUAAGGGGUAGAGCACUGAAUGGGCUAGGGCAUACACCAAUGUACCAAACCCUAUCAAACUCCGAAUACUUAUAGUGUAAUCAUGGCAGUCAGGCGGCGAGUGAUAAAAUCCGUCGUCGAGAGGGGAACAACCCAGACUAACAGCUAAGGUCCCUAAAUCUCAUUUAAGUGGAAAACGAUGUGAAGUUACUGAAACAACCAGGAGGUUGGCUUAGAAGCAGCCAUCCUUUAAAGAAAGCGUAAUAGCUCACUGGUCUAGUGAUUUUGCGCGGAAAAUAUAACGGGGCUAAAAUGAGUACCGAAGCUUUAGACUUGCACUUAAUUUUAACUAUAAAAAUUUUACACAAGGUUUUAAGUUAUGUUUCUCAUAAUUUAAUGAACUUUGUGAGUUAAAUUAUGAGAAAAUAGUUUACUAAAAGUAGUUAGAAUUAAGUGCAAGUGGUAGGAGAGCGUUGCAUUCAGCAUUGAAGGUGUACCGGUAAGGAGCGCUGGAGCGGAUGCAAGUGAGCAUGCAGGCAUGAGUAGCGAUAAUUAAUGUGAGAAUCAUUAACGCCGUAAACCCAAGGUUUCCUACGCGAUGCUCGUCAUCGUAGGGUUAGCCGGGUCCUAAGCAAAGUCCGAAAGGGGUAUGCGAUGGAAAAUUGGUUAAUAUUCCAAUGCCAACUAUGAUGUGCGAUGGAAGGACGCUUAAGGUUAGAGGAGCCAGCGGAUGGAAGUGCUGGUCGAAAGGUGUAGGUUGAAAUUCAGGCAAAUCCGAAUUUCUUUAUCCAAGACCCCACAGGCAUUUGAAGUUCUUCGGAAUGGAUAGUGAAUCCUUGAUACCAUCGAGCCAAGAAAAGUUUCUAAGUUUAGUUAUAGUUGCCCGUACCGUAAACCGACACAGGUGGGUGGGAUGAGUAUUCUAAGGCGCGUGGAAGAACUCUCUUCAAGGAACUCUGCAAAAUAGCACCGUAUCUUCGGUAUAAGGUGUGCCUAACUUUGUGAAGGAUUUACUCCGUAAGCAUUGAAGGUUACAACAAAGAGUCCCUCCCGACUGUUUACCAAAAACACAGCACUCUGCUAACACGUAAGUGGAUGUAUAGGGUGUGACGCCUGCCCGGUGCUCGAAGGUUAAUUGAUGACGUUAGCUCUGCGAAGCGUUUGAUCGAAGCCCGAGUAAACGGCGGCCGUAACUAUAACGGUCCUAAGGUAGCGAAAUUCCUUGUCGGUUAAAUACCGACCUGCAUGAAUGGCGUAACGAGAUGGGAGCUGUCUCGAAGAGGGAUCCAGUGAAAUUGUAGUGGAGGUGAAAAUUCCUCCUACCCGCGGCAAGACGGAAAGACCCCGUGGACCUUUACUACAGCUUGACACUGCUAUUGGGAUAAAGAUGUGCAGGAUAGGUGGGAGGCUUCGAGUAAUAGACGCCAGUUUAUUAUGAGCCAUUGUUGAGAUACCACUCUUUUUUAUUCUGAUAGCUAACUAGCAUGAGUUAUCCUCAUGUAGGACAAUGUCUGGUGGGUAGUUUGACUGGGGCGGUCGCCUCCCAAAAUGUAACGGAGGCUUACAAAGGUUGGCUCAGAACGGUUGGAAAUCGUUCGUAGAGUAUAAAGGCAAAAGCCAGCUUAACUGCAAGACAUACACGUCAAGCAGAGACGAAAGUCGGUCUUAGUGAUCCGGUGGUUCUGUGUGGAAGGGCCAUCGCUCAAAGGAUAAAAGGUACCCCGGGGAUAACAGGCUGAUCUCCCCCAAGAGCUCACAUCGACGGGGAGGUUUGGCACCUCGAUGUCGGCUCAUCGCAUCCUGGGGCUGGAGCAGGUCCCAAGGGUAUGGCUGUUCGCCAUUUAAAGCGGUACGCGAGCUGGGUUCAGAACGUCGUGAGACAGUUCGGUCCCUAUCUGCCGUGGGCGCAAGAAGAUUGAGGAGAGUUGACCCUAGUACGAGAGGACCGGGUCGAACCAACCACUGGUGUACGAGUUGUCCUGCCAAGGGCACCGCUCGGUAGCUAAGUUGGGAUGUGAUAAGAGCUGAAAGCAUCUAAGCUCGAAGCCAACUCCAAGAUGAAUCUUCUUUUAAGAGCUCAAUUAGACUAAUUGUUCGAUAGGCUGGGUGUGUAAUGGAUGAAAGUCCUUUAGCUGACCAGUACUAAUAGCUCGUCUGC
RNAcentral lists this ribosomal RNA (2899 nucleotides) under Campylobacter curvus. RNAcentral describes it as "23S ribosomal RNA". It matches the Rfam family "Bacterial large subunit ribosomal RNA". Lineage: Bacteria; Pseudomonadati; Campylobacterota; Epsilonproteobacteria; Campylobacterales; Campylobacteraceae. The record is from RNAcentral.